This 4362-nucleotide long non-coding RNA is filed under the name Sus scrofa (pig). RNAcentral describes it as "lncRNA (ENSSSCG00060028785.1)". Lineage: Eukaryota; Metazoa; Chordata; Mammalia; Artiodactyla; Suidae. The record is from RNAcentral.
GGUCUAAUCGGAGCUGUAGACGCUGGCCUACGCCAGAGCCACAGCAACGCCAGAUCCAAGCAGCAUCUGCAACCUACCUCAGCUCACGGUAACACCGGAUUCUUAACCCACUGAGUAAGGCCAGGGAUGGAAUCGAAACCUCAUGGUUCUUAGUCGGACUCGUUAACCACUGAGCCAUAACGGGAACUCCUGUUAUUUUUCUGUUUCUAAAUUUCCUACCAAAUUAUUAAGACUCUCAAAGAUGUUUCUCUCAUCAUGUAAGUUUUUUUCAUUUGCUAGUCCUAAUCCUAAAACGACAGGUGAAAUUUUAAUAUUGGCUAUUCCUCUAACACAGAGGAAAAUUAGAUAAUUACUAAAUACAUCAUUUCAACCUAAACGUAGGUAGCUUUUUAAACCAAGUAAUUACAUUUUCAAUACCCAGGAGUCAGAGUAGAUUGAUGUUUUGGCUCGAGCAAUAUAUGCUCAUACUUUUUCAAAAAUAACUCUAUUUUUUUAGAAAUCUAACAUAUGGCAAAUGCAUUUAAGCAACAAUUUUCCUUCCGUAAUGAUGUUAGCAAUUUGCAAAGAUGAAGUGGAAGCUAGGACUGUGGGCAGGGUAUACGUAAAUUUGAAACAAGUACCUGCCUGAUCUGUUUGGAAAAUGACUAACCCAUCAAGACUGAAGCUCCAUGCAUUCCAUGUGGGUAAAACAGGAGUUGAAAGUGUCCAUACGGUCCUAAAAAAGUGUACUUCAGAUGCAAAGUUUUUUUUAAUCCCUAACCAUAAGAAUCAAAGAGAAAUUAUUGAUCAAAGUUGUAUUUACAAGGUUAUCUGAGAUAUUACUGUUAUCAAACAGUAACCCCUCGUUGGAAUCACAAAUCAUCAAAAUCAGAAAGGCCCCUAGGGGUUAAUUUAGUCAAAGUCUCUCUUUUACAGGGGAGGAAAUCAGAUGAGGAAACUAAGGCCUGGAGCUUUGGAAUAAAUUGCUACAAAUCUAUGUCAGAAAUGGCAGAGGUUAACCCAGAUCCCAGCCUCCCAAUUUACAAUCUAAUGAGCUUUCCAGUCAAUUUCAAUGCUCCUCCCAGGGCUCUAGGAACACAGUGGGGCACUUGUUAAACAGAAGGAGACUCUGCCUCAACUGCUUUGGAAGGGUCUGGGUAUCUGUAACUUUAAGGAGAGUUGCAGGCAGUUCUUAAGGUCAGACAAGUAUGGAAACACCGUUUCUUCUCACACCUCCUCCUUAACCUCAGGGGCAACCUGGCUGCUCUGCUGUAAGUUUCUAUUAAUACAUUUAGGGACCAUCCAGGGAUCAGAAGUGGGUGGAGACAUAUAUUUAUCUAACUUAUUUUUUUUAACUCUUGUCUGUCUCAGGAUACCUCUUACUGGUUCCAGAACUUCCACUCCUUUGUCCAUAAAACGGAUAUAAUACAACCUGGUCUUCCUACUUCACAAAGCUUUGAAUCAAAUAAUGAAUGUGAAAAACAUUCUUUCAAUUAGAAAAGUGCCAUAUAAUACAGUGUUAUUAUUAAUUAUAACAAGAAAUAAAUCACACCGGAUUUAAACAUAAAACAGGGCUGUUAGGCUGAGUGUCUACUGAUUUCUGCAUAGCAAAGUCCAUUUUGAUUGUUUUUGACUACUUACAGAGUGGAGAUCUAACUACCCACAUUUCUGGCCCCCUCACUAUUUUCAACGGGAACUUAUUUUGUCAGCAAAAAUUAAUGAAGUUUGACUUUUAUAGGAAGCAUACUGGUGGUUAAGCUCACAACCUUAGAGAGGUAGAAAGUUUAUUUUCUUGUCUGUUUUUAAAGUAAUUGUCUUAUUCAUGUAGAUUUGCAGCAGUCAGCUCAGCAGGCCCUCCUGAAGGUUUCUGAAGUUAUUCUUCCUGACACAGACCACUAAGAAACUAAAUACUAGUUUGGUUCAAAUAUUGAUUGAGCUCUCGCAUUUCCAGCCACUGUUUUAAACUUUGGAGGAACAGCCACCCUUGACCCCAGGAGCUCGCUAUCUAGCCAGGGGAGCAGAAAUGAACAGAGGAUUAGAAAUCAAUAGCCUACAUUGGUAAACGCAAUGGUGGAGGUACAGAACAGAUGCCCAUACUAGAUGCCAGGAGGGCCCUCCCUCCAAUUUGGGGGUGGCAGGGAAACCAUCAGGGUAGUCUUUAAGGAUAAGCAGGAGGAAAAGAGUGAUGUAUGUUCUCCCCCAUUAUGACAAAAAUUAUUUUGGAUGACUACCUAGGAGAUUUUGAGGAAUGGCAAACUCUAUGAAAUAUUUCUCAGAAUCAUUGAGGGUGGGCUGACCCAAAGGACGAAAAUGCUGUUUCUGUGUUGGAAAGAUAAAGCGUAUUCGUUUUCUAAACAGCUCCACUCACACCCUUGAUUAUGGCAGAGACCCACCAGGCACACUCUGCCACUGCACUCACUCCACCUUCUGAACUGCUCAGCUCUGCUACUUGCUCCUUGGGAGACUCACUAAAAGGUUUAUCUGCCAAGAAGGAUGAAAUUACGGGUCAUCGUUAUCCUUGGUACUGUUUAUGGAAUGUACCUCAACUUUGUUGCCCAAUCCCGUGUGACCCUAAGAGGGCAGUGGGACAGCUGGAGAGCCAAUCAGAAGGUGUGGGCUCCAGGCCCCACUGCUUAAACUGGGGUGAAUCACUAAAAUUCUCUUGGACUCCUCUCGUGUUAAGAGCUAAGGAAAUAGAUGGCCUUUACCGUCAGUUUCAAGUCUAAAAGUCUAGGCAUCCGCUCUAACGGGACAUGGUAUUCUUCAGACCUGCCUAAAAAGAGCCCCCAGUGACUUCAAAAGGUAGUUUUUAUGCAGGAAUAUGGACAUUACAGGAGAACAGGACAUUUUAUAAAAAGAAUCCUAACACAGUCUAAGUAAGAGGAAUGCAUAAGGUGUUUCAUUGCUUUGUAGCAUAUAAAAAAGUUAAGUGUGUGAGGGAGAAAAACCACAAAAACCCAUGUCUUUAGAGUUCAGCUUUCUUCUUUACAUGGAUACUUCUACUCUCAGACAUAAUUAUAUUCAAUAAAAGCCUUCCUUCUCCAUCAUAAAAAAACAAAAUGAUGAGCCAGGUUUUCCAGUAGGAAAUCAAAGCCAAAAAUUCGAAGAAACUUGUGAAAGGUUUUGAAAAGAUUUAAUUCGGUCACUAAAUAGAACCACCUAAUUAAUUCAGGGAAUUUGGGGGAUUUCGGUUGCAAACCUGAGCUCCGGGUACAUGUGUACGCAAAGACAGAAAAGUGAUAUGUUUAAAUGUAAAAAAAGAGCUGCAAAAAGAGUUCUCGACCUUCAGGGAGUUUUUCUUUGUCUUUCAAUUCCCACAAUGGAUCAGUUCACCUGACAGAUCCGCCUCAUCACAGCAUUCCUCAAGGGCGAAACUCUCCUUCCCCUACACAGACACUGCACAGAAAAGGCACACAAGCAACUAGUGAUUAGUGAGAUGACCAUGACAUUCCACUACGAAAGUACAUCCUGAUGCAUGAGAUCAUUAUUCACAUUAAGUAGAUAUAUUCUGCUUAUGUCCAACAACUUUAUGAGACCGCUUGGAUUUUCUUUUCCCCUCUGUGACUAUUUUGGGGGGCGGGGAGUGGGAGGAACUCUCCCGGCUUGAGAACUGCCCACAAUUUAUAAGGAUGUGCUGACAGCAAUAUCAAAGAGAUGUACUGUAAAAUGUAAAACCAUCAUAUGGUAUUUUCACAACUUGGAGAAAGAUGUAUUACAGCAAACAAUCUCACUGGUAUUAAAGUGCUAAAAACUUGAACUCUUCCAGUUGUGAGGUAAUAAAAUAUAGCUAAGCUUUCCUAGCAAAGAGGGGGGAAAAACUGAAAACCAGCUAUUCAAGAUUGCAUAUGGAGCGAUGCUAAGGAGAGACAGAAUUUCAUCCAGAGCUGCUGAAAUCCAGGCGUGUGUUACACCACCAUCUCCCCUCCAGCCUGCAAUCCAUCAACCAUCUCCACCUUACUCUUCACACUUAGGAUUAUGAUCAAGUCUAUGUACUAAAGGGGGAAAGACCAAACAAACAUUACACUGAAAGUGUCCCUGCUUUGAACCAGCAGGAGAUUCCAGUUACUUCACUGGAACUGGUUAAGCGGCUGAAAUGAAAUGGGUGCUAGGAGAGAUCACCACGUCAGGACAGAGACUUGAUUUUCAGGGUUGGAGGAGAUCAGACGAAGACGAAUGAGAUUCUGAGUCUUAGUACAAGGUCAAGGCCCCCGGAAUUACAAAAAGCUGGUGGGUCAGUGAGGGGGCCUGUGGGUUGGGAAGCGGCAAAAACUAGCGCCAAAAAAGAAAACCCUGAACUAAUUUGUUAGUAGGUAAAUGCACUCAGAGCGGUGACGAGCAGCCCCAACGCUCGCUGAGAUCCUCAGAGUUUUACAAACCGACCCU